This 468-nucleotide ribosomal RNA is filed under the name uncultured bacterium. RNAcentral describes it as "partial 16S ribosomal RNA". It matches the Rfam family "Bacterial small subunit ribosomal RNA", at positions 28 to 507 of the family's 1533-position model. The record is from RNAcentral.
GACGAACGCUGGCGGCGUGCUUAACACAUGCAAGUCGAACGGAAAGGCCCUGCUUUUGUGGGGUGCUCGAGUGGCGAACGGGUGAGUAACACGUGAGUAACCUGCCCUUGACUUUGGGAUAACUUCAGGAAACUGGGGCUAAUACCGGAUAGGAGCUCCUGCUGCAUGGUGGGGGUUGGAAAGUUUCGGCGGUUGGGGAUGGACUCGCGGCUUAUCAGCUUGUUGGUGGGGUAGUGGCUUACCAAGGCUUGGACGGGUAGCCGGCCUGAGAGGGUGACCGGCCACAUGGGGACUGCGAUACGGCCCAGACGCCUACGGGAGGCAGCAGUGGGGAAUAUUGCACAAUGGGCGGAAGCCUGAGGCAGCGACGCCGCGUGCGGGAUGACGGCCUUCGGGUUGUAAACCGCUUUCGCCUGUGACGAAGCGUGAGUGACGGUAAUGGGUAAAGAAGCACCGGCUAACUACGUG